CGGGGCGUAGUUCAGUUUGGUAGAGCGCCUGCUUUGGGAGCAGGAGGUCGCAGGUUCAAAUCCUGUCGCCCCGA
Molecule: transfer RNA, 74 nt
Filed under: Nesterenkonia sp.
Lineage: Bacteria; Bacillati; Actinomycetota; Actinomycetes; Micrococcales; Micrococcaceae
Also listed under: 1 other name
Description: tRNA-Pro
Rfam family: tRNA
About the family: Transfer RNA (tRNA) molecules are approximately 80 nucleotides in length. Their secondary structure includes four short double-helical elements and three loops (D, anti-codon, and T loops).
Source: RNAcentral